AACGCGAAGAACCUUACCGGGGCUUGACAUCCUGCGCUAUCCCAAGAGAUUGGGUUUCCGGGUAACCGGACGCAGAGACAGGUGCUGCAUGGCUGUCGUCAGCUCGUGCCGUGAGGUGUUGGGUUAAGUCCCGCAACGAGCGCAACCCUUGCCGUGUGUUGGUCGCAAGAUCUCUCACGCGGGACCGCCGGUGACAAGCCGGAGGAAGGUGGGGAUGACGUCAAGUCAGCAUGGCCCUUACGUCCCGGGCUACACACGUGCUACAAUGGGAGGGACAACGAGUCGCGAACCCGCGAGGGCAAGCUAAUCUCAUAAACCCUCUCUCAGUUCGGAUUGAAGGCUGCAACUCGCCUUCAUGAAGUCGGAAUCGCUAGUAACCGUAGAUCAGCUACGCUGCGGUGAAUACGUUCCCGGGCCUUGUA
This 422-nucleotide ribosomal RNA is filed under the name uncultured bacterium. RNAcentral describes it as "bacterial SSU rRNA". It matches the Rfam family "Bacterial small subunit ribosomal RNA", at positions 958 to 1385 of the family's 1533-position model. The record is from RNAcentral.